This 419-nucleotide unclassified non-coding RNA is filed under the name Psychotria flava. RNAcentral's name for it is "partial external transcribed spacer". Lineage: Eukaryota; Viridiplantae; Streptophyta; Magnoliopsida; Gentianales; Rubiaceae. The record is from RNAcentral.
GUCCUAUCGUGCAUUCCUCUUCAAUUAUUGGCACAAGAGCCUAUUUUGCCUUGGCCAAGUCGCCGGUUUCCUGUGCUGUAUACCUACAUAGACGGAACUCGUUUGGCAAUGAUCCCGAGUUUUCCCAACGCUGCCCGUUGACACGGUGCGGAAUCGGGAGAACCACAAGGCGAAACUCGUGCUCCGAGCAGCGUACAAAUCGUUAUGCGGUAUCGGCSCACGGGCGUAGCUCGAUUUCGGGGAUUCAGAAAACGCUGCGGGUAAGGGUCCACGACCCUCUAUUGACCCACGAAUCGGCAUUACACGCCCCAUUCGAUUGACGUUUGAUGUCUCGUGGAUGUUUUACGUCCCGCGACUCAAUGUCUCCGAGGAAUGCUACCUGGUUGAUCCUGCCAGUAGUCAUAUGCUUGUCUCAAAGA